AAAAGCAUAUGUUUGGGUUCUAUGCAUUGGAAAUAGAAUGUGUGGGGACAUCUAGAACAAUUUGUAUGUUGUUUGGAAGUAGUCCUGCAUAUUACAGAAGAGCCUCAUGCUAAUGCAACUAUAGUAAGAAAACAAAGUCCUGGAGGCAUGACACAAGAAAACGUAAAGCAUAGAAACAAAUUACAACACAGUGAAGAGACCAAGAGAUUUUCCAUGAUUCUAAAAAAGUGUUGAGGGGCGAUAGAUGGCGUCGACUUCGGCAGCCAGCAAUCCCAAGGUGUAGCAUGGUGGAGUAGGCGAUGAUGUGCAGCCUCGGCCAGCGUAGGGCAGCGGCCGAUCGUAGUAGCAGCAGGCGGAGCUCUUGCCUUAUCUGUAAAAGAAAUCGGCAUCAUAUUGAGAUCUAAACUGCACAACACUAAUAUAUGCGAGCCUGUGAAAAAUAAGUGCAAAUAGAAGUAUCAAGAACUUUGAAGUUUGCUGCAAGAAAAUUGAUAACAUUAAAUGGAAGUUUCCCUAGCAGGCUAAAAAUGUGUUAAGUUUUGGAGUGUUAAUAUCGAAUGUAAAAGGUCCAAUAAUAUACACACCUGGCCACUGGCACACCAAGAAACAUUGUCAUUAGCUAAAACCCGAAAAGAUAAACAUCAUAGGGAAAAGGGGAUUUUUAAUAUCCUACUAUUAGAAAUAUGAUGAACAUUGAUGCAAUCCUCCAAAAACCGAUUGACACCAAAUUUUGAACGGAUGCAUACUUGACACCUUCGUUCCAUUAUGUUGGCAAAAAAACCAAAACGGAACAGUGGGAAAAAUUGAUCAGGCUAAGGCACAAGGAUGCAGAGGCUGCUAAUGGAUUCAGAAAAAAAUAUCCUCACUGAGGAUCUUGCAUAAUUUUGCAUACAUAACUGGAUUAUCUCUAUAUACUAUUAAAGGCGAUAAAAAAAUUGUUUCUAUGACAACAAAUUCAAAUCUAGCUUGAGAGGAUAGAGCACAAACCAGUGAAAACCAAGAUUAAGAACACAAAUACUAAGAAAGUGAACUAAAGCAUGAGUAGGUAGUUGAUGCCCUGCUCGGCUUGUUCUAUCUAUUCACGCAAGAAAUUAUGAGCAUAGAAAAAUUAAAUUAGACCCACAAAGUAAAUUUGUUUUACUUAGCUUUCAAAAAAAAUGUUAUACUUCCCUUGAUCUUAAGUACCCAGUUUUACGAUGACCAUCUCCUGUAAAAUUCUGUGCUCCAAGCUCACCAUGACAUGGUCCAAUUAACGCUCCUUAUUGUCAUUAUUCUGUUUCUUAUCUGGCAAACCACCUCAUCUCCCAACUGACUAAUAUCUGCAAACAAUAGGCAGAACAAAUUAUCACCGCAUGAUAUAGGCAGAAAAAAACACAUAACUUGGUCCUAGUCGAUGAAGAUGCUAGAUAUUUGCACAAGUGCCCACGUACCUUGGUGUAGAGUGGACAUUGUCAUACUUGAAGUGUUGCGUUGGAUGGCAUGCUUGCAGCUAUCCAUGCAGCUCUCGCCACUGCUUGCGCCACGCUCGCCGACGCUGCUCUACCACUGCCGCAAGCACCAGCCACAUGCUCCGCCGCGAGCAGCCAACCAAGAUGUCACAUCUUUGCAUGAGUG
Molecule: long non-coding RNA, 1614 nt
Filed under: Triticum aestivum (bread wheat)
Lineage: Eukaryota; Viridiplantae; Streptophyta; Magnoliopsida; Poales; Poaceae
Description: long non-coding RNA (TAES_LNC003581)
Source: RNAcentral